UACGUAGGUGGCAAGCGUUGCCCGGAUUUAUUGGGUUUAAAGGGUGCGUAGGCGGUCGAAUAAGUCAGUGGUGAAAUACGGCAGCUUAACUGUCGAGGUGCCAUUGAUACUGUUUGACUUGAGUACUGAUGAGGUAGGCGGAAUGGACGGUGUAGCGGUGAAAUGCUUAGAGAUCGUCCAGAACACCGAUAGCGAAGGCAGCUUACUAGGCUGUAACUGACGCUGAGGCACGAAAGUGUGGGGAUCAAACAGG
This 253-nucleotide ribosomal RNA is filed under the name uncultured bacterium. RNAcentral describes it as "partial 16S ribosomal RNA". It matches the Rfam family "Bacterial small subunit ribosomal RNA", at positions 524 to 776 of the family's 1533-position model. The record is from RNAcentral.